Triticum aestivum (bread wheat) is the source of this 115-nucleotide non-coding RNA. The record is from Rfam. Lineage: Eukaryota; Viridiplantae; Streptophyta; Magnoliopsida; Poales; Poaceae.
AUAGUACUCCCUCCGUUCGGAAUUACUUGUCAUAAAAAUGUAUGUAUCUAGAUGUAUUUUAGUUCUAGAUACAUCCAUUUCUAAGACAAGUAAUUCCGAACGGAGGGAGUACUUG